UACAAGUGGGCACACUCAUCAUUUGU
RNAcentral lists this non-coding RNA (26 nucleotides) under Rattus norvegicus (Norway rat). Lineage: Eukaryota; Metazoa; Chordata; Mammalia; Rodentia; Muridae. The record is from RNAcentral.